Cyprinus carpio (common carp) is the source of this 2752-nucleotide long non-coding RNA. NCBI's taxonomy places the organism in Eukaryota, Metazoa, Chordata, Actinopteri, Cypriniformes, Cyprinidae. The record is from Ensembl.
AUGAGCAGUGGAAAAGGAAGAGGUGCAAGAGUGAGAGGUGGUGGACAGGGUAGAUGGAGAAGAAGAGGAAGAGGAGAUGGAGAAAGAGCAAGAAGAGCUGAAGAUGUCGGAGAAAGAGAAAGAAGAGCUAUGGGUGUAGGAGAAAGAGAAAGAAGAGCUAUGGAUGCAGGAGAAAGAGAAAGAAGAGCUGAGGAGGUAGGAGAAGGAGAAAGAAGAGCUGAGGAGGUAGGAAAAGGAGAAAGAAGAGCUGAGGAGGUAGGAGCAGGAGAAAGAAGAGGUGAGGAUGUAGGAGUAAGAAGAACUGAAGAUGUAGGAGAAGGAGCAAGAAGAGCUGAAGAUGUAGGAGAAAGAGAAAGAUGAGCUAUGGGUGUAGGAGAAAGAGAAAGAAGAGCUAUGGGUGUAGGAGAAAGAGAAAAAAAGAGCUAUUCUUGCUGAAGAUGUAGGAGAAGGAGCAAGAAGAGCUGAAGAUGUAGGAGAAGGAGCAAGAAGAGCUAAAGAUGUAGGAGAAAGAGAAAGAAGAGCUAUGGGUGUAGGAGAAAGAGAAAGAAGAGCUGAGGAGGUAGGAGCAGGAGAAAGAAGAGCUGAAGAUGUAGGAGCAAGAGAAAGAGGAGCUGAGAUGUAGGAGCAGGAGAAAGAAGAGCUGAGGAUGUAGAAGAAGGAGAAAGAAGAGCUGAGGAUGUAGGAGAAUGAGAAAGAAGAGCUGAAGAUGUAGGAAGAGGAGAAGAUAGAGGAGUAGAGGGAGAAGAGAUGGAUAGAUUGGAGGGCAAUGGUAUAGUGGAAUGAGAUGAGUAGAAAAUAUAAGAGGUGGACAGGGAGGAAGAGGAGGGCAAGGUGUAAGAGGAGGGAGGAGAGGUAGAAGGAAAGGGUACACGUGUGUUUCAAAUGAAAUCAGAGCCACACUUAUUGACCAUGUCAUAAAUCAUGGUCUCUCACUGAGAGAAGCUGGGCAGAGAAUUCAGCCCAAUAUAAACAGAUCCACAGUGGCUUCAGUUAUCUGCACAUUUCAGAGGGAAAACCGUUAAGUAACUAUAUGAUUCUACUUCUACAAUGAGAGUCCAUGUAGUCUCGUUUGACAUAGGUCUAGAUUUCUACAGUAAAUGUUCCUGCUUGUCCAAACAUUUUUCAGAUUUGAAGUUAAAGAACAUUCAGGUGGAUGAACAAGAGUUUUUUUCAGUUUAACAAGAGCAUGCCAUUGUUGACAUGGUGGUCCAGAACAACACCCUCUGUCUCAAAGAAAUUCAGCAAAGAAUAACACAGGACAAUCAACUGUUCAACAAUAUCCACCAAUGCAUUCUCUCCACAAUUGAUCGUUUUCUAAGGAGAAAUGCGAUCCGAAUGAAGCAAGUCUACAAAGUGCCCUUUGAGAGGAACUCUGUUAGAGUGAAGGAGUUGNGAGAAGCUGGGCAGAGAAUUCAGCCCAAUAUAAACAGAUCCACAGAGGCUUCAAUUAUCUGCACAUUUCAGAGGGAAAACCGGUAAGUAACUAUAUAAUUCUACUUCUACAAUGAGAGUCCAUGUAGUCUCGUUUGACAUAGGUCUAGAUCUCUACAGUAAAUGUUCCUGCUUGUCCAAACAUUUUUCAGAUUUGAAGUUAGAGAACAUUCAGGUGGACGAACAAGACUUCUUUCAAUUGAACAAGAGCAUGCCAUUGUUGACAUGGUGGUCCUGAACAACACCCUCUGUCUCAAAGAAAUUCAGCAAAGAAUAACACAGGACAAUCAACUGUUCCACAAUAUCCACCAAUGCAUUCUCUCCAAAAUUGAUCGUUUUCUAAGGAGAAAUGCGAUCCGAAUGAAGCAAGUAUACAAAGUGCCCUUUUAGAGGAACUCCGUUAGAGUGAAGGAGUUGCGAUUCCAGUUUGAUCAAGUAUGUGCAGCCCAAUUACUGCACUUUUACUGCCAACACAAAGAUAUAUUUUUCCUGAACUUUAAGUGUGUCCAUAAACUAUUCCAUGCUACUAUGUGAAAAGAUUUAGGCAUAUCUAUGUAUACUGCUGCUUCAAAGUGUGAACUCAAACUUCAGCAACAAUUUCACAGCAGUAUUGACUGCAAUCAAUGACAUUACUGUAAAACACUAACUUACUGUAUUGUACCUUGUGGUGUUUUUAUUCUAGAGAAUCUUGGAGUUGGAUAGCAGUGCAACUCAUGAGUACCUGUAUAUUUAUGAAGCAGGCUUCAGUAUUCACAAAAAAAGGAGAAGAGGGAGAAAUGUGAUUGGCCAUCGUGCUACAGUCAAUGUCCCUGGACAACGAGGAGGCAACAUCACUCUCUGUGCCACAAUUUCUACAACUGGUGUUGUUGCACACAGUGCUGUCUUGGGACCAUACAACACAGCAAGGCUCCUAUGUUUUUUAAACCUCCUCCGCAAAUGGUGCGGAAUUUUGUAGUUGUUUGGGACGAUGUCCAAUUCCACCAUUCAGCACUAGUGCGUGAGUGUUUUGAGAAUCACCCACAUUUCAGGUUGGUGUUCCUUUCACCAUAUUCUCCUUUCCUGAAUCCAGUUGAGGAAUUCUUCUCCUCUUGGAGAUAGAUAGUACAUGAUUGCAACCCUUACAACCAAGUAAGUCUUCAAGCGAUGGAAGAGCCCUGUGGAGAUACUGGGGCACAAGCAUGUCAAGGAUGGAUACAGCAUUCAAGGCACUUUUUCCCACGAUGCAUGACUCAUGAAAAUAUUUGCUGUGAUGCUGAUUAAAAUCUCUGGCCAGAUGUAAUUGAGAGGUAUGAUCAAUAAAAUAAUUAAUUCAAUGAAUGCA